RNAcentral lists this long non-coding RNA (602 nucleotides) under Nicotiana tabacum (common tobacco). Its description in RNAcentral is "long non-coding RNA (NTAB_LNC003615)". The record is from RNAcentral. Lineage: Eukaryota; Viridiplantae; Streptophyta; Magnoliopsida; Solanales; Solanaceae.
CCUCCUUGUCCUUCUACUUCUUCUUUAAUAGUGCUCGAUGAGUCUUUUGAUUUCUCUUUUCUGGGAUCGCAAAAGAUCAUUAAUUGGAGGUGUUUCCUUAUGAGGCAUAGUCUUCUAAGAAUAGGACACAAGGUUAACCUCAUGAAUCUAGCUUGAGAUAUGUGGCCAGAUUUAUUCUCAGUUUGAAGUUUUGGCUCCUCCAAUUAACCUUGUUUAGAGUUUUCCCAGAGUUUCCUUGAUUGGCUCUCUUUCCUUCGUUGCAUGCUUGAGAAUCUUUAGCUCGUCUGAUUGAUUUGUCUUUCCUUCCUUGUUUCUUGUUUGAUUGAUUCUUUUUCCAUUUGGCAUGGAGUUUGAAUAACAUAGCAGUUGGCUUCCUCUGAUAUGCUUGUAUAAUUUUCUUUCCUUUCUUGCAUUCAUCAGAGCUAUUGCAAAUCUGCACACAAAGUGGGAUAACAUUAGCCAAGGUAUUUUUGAUUAUUGAUCAUUAUUAAAAUUCUAAACGUAACAUUUCAUAGGCGGUUGAAAACCAAGCAAGACUCUGAAUUAUAGCUUUAUCAACGGAUCCCCGAAGCCGCCUUGGAGUGCUUCACCGAGACACUGCU